Molecule: small RNA, 83 nt
Filed under: Marmota monax (woodchuck)
Lineage: Eukaryota; Metazoa; Chordata; Mammalia; Rodentia; Sciuridae
Source: RNAcentral
GCCAGGCAUGGUGGCACAUGCCUGUAAUCCCAGCAAUUUAGGAGGCUGAGGCAGGAGGACUGCAAGUUGGAGGCCAGCCUCAG